RNAcentral lists this non-coding RNA (31 nucleotides) under Mus musculus (house mouse). The record is from RNAcentral. Lineage: Eukaryota; Metazoa; Chordata; Mammalia; Rodentia; Muridae.
UAGACUGAUUUUCUCACUCAUGUGCCUCUGU